GUCACUACUGGUAGCAUGAGGCAGUACCUGCAGCCUACAGAGAAGAUUAGCAUGGCCCCUGUGCAAGGAUGACUCACAAAUUUGUGAAGCGUUCCAUAUUAAA
Molecule: small nuclear RNA, 103 nt
Filed under: Salvator merianae (Argentine black and white tegu)
Lineage: Eukaryota; Metazoa; Chordata; Lepidosauria; Squamata; Teiidae
Source: RNAcentral